UACAGAGGGUGCGAGCGUUAAUCGGAAUUACUGGGCGUAAAGCGCGCGUAGGCGGUUAUGUAAGUUGGAUGUGAAAUCCCCGGGCUUAACCUGGGCACUGCAUUCAAAACUGCAUAGCUAGAGUAUGGGAGAGGAAGGUAGAAUUCCAGGUGUAGCGGUGAAAUGCGUAGAGAUCUGGAGGAAUACCGAUGGCGAAGGCAGCCUUCUGGCCUAAUACUGACGCUGAGGUGCGAAAGCAUGGGGAGCAAACAGG
This 253-nucleotide non-coding RNA is filed under the name uncultured bacterium. RNAcentral's name for it is "partial 16S ribosomal RNA". It matches the Rfam family "Bacterial small subunit ribosomal RNA", at positions 524 to 776 of the family's 1533-position model. RNAcentral also lists the same sequence under 1 other name. The record is from RNAcentral.